This 497-nucleotide ribosomal RNA is filed under the name uncultured bacterium. RNAcentral describes it as "partial 16S ribosomal RNA". It matches the Rfam family "Bacterial small subunit ribosomal RNA", at positions 28 to 507 of the family's 1533-position model. The record is from RNAcentral.
GAUGAACGCUGGCGGCGUGCCUAAUACAUGCAAGUCGAGCGAACGGACGCGAAGCUUGCUUCUCUGAUGUUAGCGGCGGACGGGUGAGUAACACGUGGAUAACCUACCUAUAAGACUGGGAUAACUUCGGGAAACCGGCGCUAAUACCGGAUAAUAUUUUGAACCGCAUGGUUCAAAAGUGAAAGACGGUCUUGCUGUCACUUAUAGAUGGAUCCGCGCUGCAUUAGCUAGUUGGUAAGGUAACGGCUUACCAAGGCAACGAUGCAUAGCCGACCUGAGAGGGGGGUCGGCCACACGGGAACGGAGACACGGUCCAGACUACUACGGGAGGCAGCAGUAGGGAAUCUGCCGCAAUGGGCGAAAGCCUGACGGAGCAACGCCGCGUGAGUGAUGAAGGUCUUCGGAGCGUAAAACUCUGUUAUGAGGGAAGAACAUAUGUGUAAGUAACUGUGCACAUCGUGACGGUACCUAAUCAGAAAGCCACGGCUAACUACGUG